UAUGGCCAUGUCACAUUGAAACACUGGUUCCCAUACAAUCAGCAAAGUUAAGCAACAUUGAACUUGGUCAGUACCUAGAUGGGUGACUGCUUGAGAAUACCAGGUGUUGUAAG
Molecule: non-coding RNA, 113 nt
Organism: Acanthosepion pharaonis
Lineage: Eukaryota; Metazoa; Mollusca; Cephalopoda; Sepiida; Sepiidae
Source: the annotation of a GenBank genome assembly